Molecule: long non-coding RNA, 408 nt
Organism: Stegodyphus dumicola
Lineage: Eukaryota; Metazoa; Arthropoda; Arachnida; Araneae; Eresidae
Source: RefSeq, a predicted model, not a curated record
AGUCUGUUAUUUAAAUUCAUACUAUACUAAAAUAUAAAGAACUGAUCUGAAGCUUAGUUUUGAGAAUAUUCAAAGCCUAAACAUGAAAUUUAUCACCAUAGUGCUCUUGAUAACUUUGAUGGUGCUUAGCAUUGAAGCGGCAGAACCAUCUGUUGUUGCAGGCGAUUCAUUCUUGGAGGAAAUUGAAGAAACAGAAAGAGCGACAAAGUGCAAAACAAGUGGCAGUUGCUCAAAGAAAGAGAAAUGCUGCAAAACGCACGUAUGUAGCUGCAACAUGCUUGGAACAAACUGCAUGUGCCAUUAGUUACAGCUUGGCCUACAGUGGAUAAUUUUCCUUUCUUACACUUCCUUUUUCACGCAAUGUUAAUAAUAUGAAUAAUUAUGUAAUAAAAACCAAAAAACACAGGA